This 386-nucleotide ribosomal RNA is filed under the name uncultured bacterium. RNAcentral describes it as "bacterial SSU rRNA". It matches the Rfam family "Bacterial small subunit ribosomal RNA", at positions 28 to 416 of the family's 1533-position model. The record is from RNAcentral.
AACGAACGCUGGCGGCGUGCUUAACACAUGCAAGUCGAGCGGUAAGGCCCUUCGGGUACGACGAGCGGCGAACGGGUGAGUAACACGUGGGUGACCUGCCUCUAGCUCUGGGAUAAGCCUGGGAAACUGGGUCUAAUACCGGAUAUGACUCCACGGCGCAUGUUGUGGGGUGGAAAGCCUUGUGUGGCUAGAGAUGGGCCCGCGGCCUAUCAGCUUGUUGGUGGGGUGAUGGCCUACCAAGGCGACGACGGGUAGCCGGCCUGAGAGGGCGACCGGCCACACUGGGACUGAGACACGGCCCAGACUCCUACGGGAGGCAGCAGUGGGGAAGUCUUGCGCAAUGGGCGAAAGCCUGACGCAGCGACGCCGCGUGAGGGAUGACGGCC